UACAGAGGGGGCAAGCGUUAUUCGGAAUUAUUGGGCGUAAAGAGCUCGUAGGCGGUCUGUCACGUCGGAAGUGAAAACCCGGGGCUUAAUCCCGGGCUUGCUUUCGAUACGGGCAGACUAGAGUGUGGUAGGGGAGACUGGAAUUCCUGGUGUAGCGGUGAAAUGCGCAGAUAUCAGGAGGAACACCGGUGGCGAAGGCGGGUCUCUGGGCCACUACUGACGCUGAGGAGCGAAAGCGUGGGGAGCGAACAGG
RNAcentral lists this ribosomal RNA (253 nucleotides) under uncultured bacterium. RNAcentral's name for it is "partial 16S ribosomal RNA". It matches the Rfam family "Bacterial small subunit ribosomal RNA", at positions 524 to 776 of the family's 1533-position model. The record is from RNAcentral.